GCCCUGAUGGUCUAGCGGUAUGAUUCUCCCUUAGGGUUGUCUAAGACAUCUCGGUCUGGGAGAGGUCCCAGGUUCGAUCCCUGGUUAGGGCC
Molecule: transfer RNA, 92 nt
Filed under: Colletotrichum eremochloae
Lineage: Eukaryota; Fungi; Ascomycota; Sordariomycetes; Glomerellales; Glomerellaceae
Description: tRNA-Pro
Source: RNAcentral